UGUGUCCUACGGGGCGCAGCAGUGGGGAAUAUUGCGCAAUGGGGGCAACCCUGACGCAGCAACGCCGCGUGCAGGAAGAAGGUCUUCGGAUUGUAAACUGUUGUCGCAGGGGAAGAAGAUGACGGUACCUGAUUAAGAAGCCCCGGCUAACUACGUGCCAGCAGCCGCGGUAAUACGUAGGGGGCAAGCGUUAUCCGGAUUUACUGGGUGUAAAGGGAGCGCAGACGGCAGCGCAAGUCUGGAGUGAAAGCCCGGGGCCCAACCCCGGAACUGCUCUGGAAACUGUUCGUCUAGAGUACUGGCGG
RNAcentral lists this ribosomal RNA (305 nucleotides) under uncultured bacterium. RNAcentral describes it as "bacterial SSU rRNA". It matches the Rfam family "Bacterial small subunit ribosomal RNA", at positions 333 to 655 of the family's 1533-position model. The record is from RNAcentral.